UACGUAGGGUGCAAGCGUUACUCGGAAUUACUGGGCGUAAAGCGUACGCAGGCGGCUAUGUAAGACAGGUGUGAAAUCCCCGGGCCUAACCUGGGAACUGCAUUUGUGACUGCAUAGCUAGAGUCCGUCAGAGGGGGGUGGAAUUCCACGUGUAGCAGUGAAAUGCGUAGAGAUGUGGAGGAACACCGAUGGCGAAGGCAGCCCCCUGGGAUGAGACUGACGCUCAUGUACGAAAGCGUGGGGAGCAAACAGG
Molecule: ribosomal RNA, 253 nt
Filed under: uncultured bacterium
Lineage: Bacteria
Description: partial 16S ribosomal RNA
Rfam family: Bacterial small subunit ribosomal RNA
Source: RNAcentral